GUAUAGAUAGAAUUUCAAGCUCUUUAAAUAGAGCACAAGCAGUGUGUACCAUCACAGGUAAACUUCAACAUUUCAUUAUUCAAAUGGAUACACAACUGGUUAAAAAAAUUACUUAUCCUUAAUAACAUCCGUUUAAUAACUUUAAUUAUUUCAAAGGGACAUUCUAAGUACCAUGACCACUAAAACUCAUGAGUUUUGGAGGUUAUGGUGCUUGAAGUCUAAUUGCCACCACCCGGAAAUGCCACCACCAUGUCUUCUUUUAAAUCAUUGUGCUGCAGAUUGACCAAAACCACAGAGUAUCCACAAAAACAUUGCAAAACCCACUGCGCUAAUAAGUUAUCAGCUCAAACCUGUCCAACCUUGGACAUCAAUAAUAGUGCCAAGCAAACCUAGAGUAAUGGUUCUUAACCUCUGGGUCAAGAAUCUCCAUUCAACAGUCAGAUCAUAUUUAUCAUGUUCCAAGGUGCGGCCAACAAUGACUGCACACACGUAAUUGUGCAGAACGAGUGAUGCAUGUCCCUUUAAGAAGGAACAAUUAUGGAUAAUGUUUACU
Molecule: non-coding RNA, 553 nt
Organism: Pelobates cultripes (western spadefoot toad)
Lineage: Eukaryota; Metazoa; Chordata; Amphibia; Anura; Pelobatidae
Source: the annotation of a GenBank genome assembly